RNAcentral lists this ribosomal RNA (279 nucleotides) under Lygodactylus arnoulti. RNAcentral's name for it is "partial 16S ribosomal RNA". The record is from RNAcentral. Lineage: Eukaryota; Metazoa; Chordata; Lepidosauria; Squamata; Gekkonidae.
UAAUUAAGGGCUAGUAUGAAUGGUUACAUGAGGGUUUAACUGUCUCCUAAGGCCAAUCAUUGAACUUGAUGACUCAGUACAAACGCUGAAAUAAACCCACAAGACGAGAAGACCCUGUGGAACUUUAAGUCCCCUGCAAGCAAACCUAAAUCACCGGCCCCUCCCCUAGCAGGCACUUUCAGUUGGGGUAACUACGGAGUAAAAAAGAACCUCCACGAACCGCAGCUAAAACCUGCACUCCCAGGCCAACACGCCAAACCCCCCCCCUCACUGACCCAG